AAGCAGAGACUAUUAAGGCAAACAAAAAUAUCGGAUAGCGGUGUCUAGCAACCAUACUGUUUAGUGGAAGAUAUUCAAAUAUCCGUGACUGUUAAACUGAUGUGUGGUGGCUGUAGCAGCUCCCCUGGAUAACAAGAUGAAACUGAGAUGUGGUCCCUCAUAACCUUGGCCCUGCUUGGAUGUUGAUACAGUACAUCAUCUUACUAGGAUGAAACAUGGACAUUGGAUUAGAUGGCCGUCAUAUCUGGGUGCUAAGGGCCACUCCCUCACUACAGCUGCAGAUGUUUAGCACAGCCGCCAAUGUUCCAGAUGUCCAAGCAACAGUGGAGUCAGGUACAGUUACAUCAGUCAGCCAGUAAGAAGAAACUUGGAACCUGACCUAACCUAAUGAUCAGAGCCCUAAUAUCAAAUGACACAGCUGGAAGAUAGUGCUUUAGCUUACAUAUGCAGAAAAUCAAGUAGAAGAACAUGUCCAAGGGUGUGAAAGCAGCAUCAUUAUUCCUAUUAAUCAAAGAAAUGUAAAUAUUCAAGUGUGUGUGUGUGUGUGUCAAGAACUUUGGGACAGCUGUUCACCUUCAUUAAGUGAGGGCCACAUACUGUCCUCUCUAAGGAAAUUUUAUGUUAAAUUACUUAAAUGUAAAUCCAGUAGCGAGUAAUGUAAUCUGUUAAAUAAAUUCAUCAUAACCAUUUGUUUCAAGAGUGAUUAUACUUAAGUCUCAAACUAAAGAAUGGAAAUUUAUAAAGCUCUACCAUUAGAGAAAUGGGAAAACAUUAAAUUUGUCACAAUUAUGUUUUGUGAAUUAAAACAAAAAACCAAGUUGA
This 822-nucleotide long non-coding RNA is filed under the name Homarus americanus (American lobster). RNAcentral's name for it is "uncharacterized LOC121864655, transcript variant X1". The record is from RNAcentral. Lineage: Eukaryota; Metazoa; Arthropoda; Malacostraca; Decapoda; Nephropidae.